GGUAACCAGCGUAAAUAAACAUUCAUUUUAGAUUCCUUUGUGCAUUAUAAGCGUUAUAAAAUUUCUUUCGGGAAAUUUUUAAGGUUUAUUUUGUGCUUAUUUUGAGGAAUAUUAAUUAUUUCGAAGUUAUAUUAAUCGGUUUUAGUUAUAAGUUUGUUCGUUUGUCAUUUUUAGGUAAGUGAUUUGGAGGCGUAAGCAGUUGAGUUUUAUUGUGCUGGCGAUUGCUUCCUUUAAAGUCCUCAAACAAGCAGUUUUUUGACAAAUUUGGCUCAUUGAAUGUUUUAGAUUUUAUUUCGCCCAGUUAGUUUUAUUCUACAAAAUCAAAGAUUCUGAAGCACCCAACACUCAUUAAACUGAUUAGAUCUAAAAGUGCUGUGCUCCAUUGACAAACCAAGCAAGUAAGCAAGGUUUUUGGAAAAAUUUUACUCAUUGCAUCCUAUAGUAUUGGUACAUAGUUCCAUUCUACAAAAUCAAAGAUGCCAAAUAUGAGUAAAAAGUCCGCUAAGACGAAAAACAUCCAGCAAAAAAAAAAAUAUUUAGCCAAAAAGUUGGAAAAUACAGAAAGCGGUAACAAAGGGGAAAAUUUACAAAAUACUAGUAAACAAGUACAUGUGCAACACAAGUUGCCCAUAAACAAGAUCUCAGAGGAUAGUACAAGUAAGGUAAAAUUCAAUGAAGUUGUAAUAGAGUCUAAUAAGCGAAAGUCAUUGACGGUUAUUGACAACAAUGAAGUAUUGUCAUCAAAAACUGUUAAUCAUAAAAAACAAAAAGUUAUUGAUUCUUUUCAAAAGUUAUCCCAUACAGGUGAAAUUCAGAAUAGUGAAAAAAUGCAGGAAGACACUACAAUCAAUCAUCCAACCAAGUUUGAACUAGCAUUAAGAGAAGGCCCCACCAUUGUUUGCAGUUGUUGUUUGAGAUUAUGGUUUCCCACUUCAUGUACAAAAAUAAAUCUACAAUUGCUAAAAAACAAAUUUGGAAACCAAUUCAUUACACAAAUUUGCAAUGAUGGGGUUUUCUUUUGCAAGUCUUGCUCAUCAAAUAUUUAUAAAGGACAAUUGCCAAAGUUCUGGUCCGGCAAUCAUAAUAUUGUUCACCCUAUACCAGUUGAGCUAAAAGAUCUGACUAUCCUUGAAGAAAGGAUGGUGUCGGCCAGGUUACCUUUCAUGCAAAUCCGACAGGUAGGAUAUGCACGACAGUGUUACAUAACUGGCCAAAUAGUCAAUGUCCCUAUAAAUAUAGAUACUUCGACCAAAUAUUGCCUAGAAAUGUAGAGGAGACACAAACUAUUCAGGUUAAGCUCAAGAGAAAAAUGAACUAUAAAAAUGAUUAUCUCCUGGAAACCAUACGGCCCGCAGUUGUUCUAAAAGCGGCAAAAUUUUUGUGUCAACAACCUCUUUACAUACAAGAAGGCAUAAAGCAAUCAGAUGAUUGGGAAAAAAAUAUUAAUGACUAUAUACGAUCUCAAGUAGAAUCCUCUGCACAGAUCUUAAAUGAAGGCUCAAAAGUGUUGGAACUGGAUUCUAAAACAGUGUGUAGUGAAAAUUUUGAAGAAUUGUUCGAUAAUGCGUUUUUCGAAACAAU
RNAcentral lists this long non-coding RNA (1581 nucleotides) under Anthonomus grandis grandis. Its description in RNAcentral is "uncharacterized LOC126749627". Lineage: Eukaryota; Metazoa; Arthropoda; Insecta; Coleoptera; Curculionidae. The record is from RNAcentral.